RNAcentral lists this long non-coding RNA (5660 nucleotides) under Homo sapiens (human). RNAcentral's name for it is "HSALNT0354559". The record is from RNAcentral. Lineage: Eukaryota; Metazoa; Chordata; Mammalia; Primates; Hominidae.
AAACCACACUUGGGGCUGCGUGCAGUGGUUUAUAUCUGUAAUCCUAGCACUUAGGAAGGCCUAGGUGGGAGGAUUGCUUUAGAUCAGGAGUUUGAGACCAGCCUGGGCAAAAUAGGGAGACGUUAUCUCUACAAAAAAGUAAAAUAGGCAUGGAGGUGCACAACUGUGGCCCUAGCUACUAAGGAGGAUGAAGUGGGAGGAUCGCUUGAACCCAGAAGUUAAAGGUUGCAGUGAGCUAUGAUUGUGCCACUGCACUCUAGUCUGGGCAACAGAGCAAGAACCUGUAUCUAAUAAAUAAAUAAUAAACAAACAAACAAACCACAUUUGGGCUCUGUGUCCCUGGGUCUUUAUAGACACAAAGUAUAGCCUUGGGAAACAUGAGUGGCCUUUAUUUAUUUUUGUGAAACUCUCCCAGUAAUUCUUUUUAUAAGGCUCUUCCGUCACCUCUUUUAAGACUAACUGGAGCGGUAACCCCUCCUUAGGCUCAGAGAUGACAUUCUCUCCAUUCAGCCAGCUUGUCCUCUGCCCUCAUGGGACACAUCGCUCUUCUUGAGCUGAUGGGAGUCUGAGAAACAAUCUUAUACACCAAAGAUAACCCUCCAUUCCUCUAUGGGCAGAAAAACAGAUCGCAAUUAGAUGAGCCAGGGACCUUAAUAAAUGCAGAUGUCCAUUUAAAUAAACCAGCAACUCUUGGGAUGUAAACAGAAACAGAAACAUACUUCAUAAUUAGAGAUGAAUGAUGAGCAAAUGAGUCAGUAGAGGAUGGAUUAAAGCAAUAGUCUAUAGCAAUAAUCAGAAAGUCAGAGCCCAAAUCUCAGAUCUCUCAGUAAUUGUUAAUUUUUGUUAGAUUAUUUAGUGUUUCUGAGUUUCAGCUUCUACAUCUGUACAAAGAAUCUGAUGAUACUUAUUUGUGUGCAUGCACAAAGCUAGGUACAUUGUAGCAUUCAAAUGUUCAUCUUAAGAAACAAAAUGAAGGGUGAAGAAAAAGAGCAAACUUUGUGCAUCUAAUACCUGGUACAGUGGAGUCAACUAGUGCUUUGGGGCAUAUCACACUGGUGGUCUAAUUCCAGCUCUGCCAUCUACUGGCUGUGUGACCUUGGACUUGUCACUGACCCAUAUUCAACCUCAGUUUCUUAUUUGGAAACCUAAAGUAUUAAUGGCUGCUUGAUAUCCAAAGGAGACAGAUGAUAGGCAUCAAGUCAGUAGCUACCAAGGAUUAUUAUUUUCCACAUAAGGUACUUUUCUAAAUUCAUCCUGAUUAAUACUAUAAUAUAAUCUCAUCAUCAACCCUCUAAAGCAGGAAUUAUUAUCCCCAUUUCACAGGCCAAGAAACUGAGAGAUUUAAAACUAGACAGUGUCUGGACUGUUUCUGUGGUCUAAUUGUUUCAUCAUGCCUUAACUGAAGUAGAAGACCUGUUGACCCAUGCUGACUACUAGAGCUCCUGGCUAAGGUUUCCUUUGCUUUCCUUUGUUUGUUUGUUUGUUUUUGAGAUAGGGUCUCACUCUGUCACCUUAGCUAAUGUGAAGUAUCGCAAUCACAGCUCACUACAGCCUUGAAUUCCUGGGCUCUAAUGGUCCUCUUGCCUUAGCCUCUAGAAUAGCUGCUACAAUGCAGGUACAUGCCACCAUACAUGGCUAAUUUUUUAUUUUUUGUAGAGACUGGAGUCUUGCCAUGUUGCCCAGGCUGGUAUCAAAUUCAUGGCCUCGAGCUAUCCUCCUGCACUAGCCUUCCAUAGCCCUGAAAUUACAGGUGUGGGCCCCCAUGACCAGCCUAAGGUUCUCUCUGAUAAGUGCUAUUUCCUCCGCAGCCUUCCCAAAGCUUUGGGGGGUACACACUUUCUUUGCCUACCGUUUUCUCCUCUAGUGUGUGCAUUGACUGAAAUCACCCACUAGAUGGUGCUGAUAUACUAACUUUGGUUUGCUUUGGCAUCUACCCGGUGAAUUAAAAAUUUACUUUAUACAUCAACAAACCAAAAUCUCUACAUAAAUCUCAGCUUGUAAGAAUCAUAUACUUGUAAAGAUUUUUUUUUUUAAAUUCAGGGUGAACUCUGGAGGCUUAGUUAUCUUGCUUAAAAAUGCAGACCAGCCUUCUAUAAAUUUACCAGCUGAGGCUCUUCUAUGGCCAUGAGCAAUCUCAACACUGUGUGUGUAUCUGCUCCAGGGUGAGAUGGAAAUUAUUAGCGGCUUUUUCUCUGAGUGUAUAGCUCAAUGGGCUUGUGAGAGCCCACCAGCUCUCCAUAGCUUCUGCUUACUGCUCUGUGAAAGGAGACGCAGAAUACAGACUCGGCUCACAGCUCAUGUGAGGAUAGAACAGGGUAUUCUAGUAGAUCUGAUUACUCUCUGAUUUCCACUUCUUUCUCUUAUUGCCUGUCACAAAUGUCUAUAAAAUCAUCAUUUUGGAAAAGUAUCACACCCCUUUAUAACAACAAUAAUAACCAACCUCUAUAUAGCCUUUUGUGGUUUACAAAGCAUGUCUCUCUCAAAUAUUUAAUAUAUCUAAAUUAACAGUCAGUGUUAUUUACUCCAUUUUACAGAGGAGAAAUUAAGGCUCAAGGGAGUAAGUAGAUUCCUAAGGAUCUACAAACUAUUUAAUUACAGUGCCAGAACUUGAACCCAAGCUUUCUGAUUACAAGUAUCUGGCUAAUGUCACUACACAAGAUAAAAACCUUUAUUACAUCUAAGGAAUACACUUAUAAUGACAACUCAUAUCCUGCUACUUCUUUUCUGAAUACCUCUGAAUUUCACCUUACUUCAAAAUUCAGAGUCCCUGGAGGGAGAAAACAACCCUCUCUCCCCACUUUUCUUGUUUCCUCCCUCCUGUCUUCCAUUCUAGUGCCCAACCCAGCAAUAAAUGUUGUGGGAGGCAACAGAGAAGACACUGUCUGUGUUCCAUGUAGCUACAGAACACCAAAGCUGGAAGGGAUUAUUGUGAUUAUCUCAUCUAACCACCCCUUUUCCAUUUAAGGAAAUCAAGCCAGGAAGGACAAGAAAUAUUCCUAUAUGUGACGCCAUGGGAUUGUCUCAAAUGACCUACUUUUAAUUGCAGUGAAUCUAUACCUUGGUAUACAUUAGUUUAGAAACUGUGUUCAUGCCAACUGCAUUUCCUUUAAAAGAACAUCUAGUUUAAGUUUUUCACUCAUGCAGCAUCCCCUCUUCCCUCUGACCCCCAACAUACAUACACAAUAAUCUUGGGAUCUUCCAACUUUGUCUUAUGAAAUCUUAUCAAAGUUGAAAUCUUCAUGUCACAACUUUACUAUUUUAGGGUCUAAGGCAAAGCAAAUUCAACGAAAUCUGAGCUGUAAUUGGCCUUUUUAUUCUUUAUUUGCCUCAUACCUCCUGUUUGUCUUGUAGAUGCUUCUGCUAUUGAAAUAAUCUCAAUGUAUUACAGCUGCCUUUCUCCUUACCUGCUUCUCUCAGGGAGCUGAAUAGCCUUUGGGAAAAGAACUGAAUCUUAGAAAUCUUUGUAACUCCAGAGUCUACUCUAGUUUUUGGCAAAGAGUACAUGAUCAAUAAUUAAUUGCUAAAUUAAAUUACAGUGCAUUAAAUUGGACCUCCACAUUAAGAACCACCUCUCUGGGCAUGUAUCAUCAGGAUUUUAAAAUCCAGAUGGAUUUAGGAAAAAAGCACCUAUUAAUAGAUAUUGAAGGUUGAAGAUCUAUUAAGAUAUUUAAGGUUUAACAAACACUUUUCUAAUUCUGCCCUCCAGGUCCCACUGGUUAGAUGAGGGUAUUUGAAUUAAGGAUUAAACCACACAGAAUCUUCUAAUUUAGUAAUACUGUUUGAGCUCCUCCCAUGUGAAAAAGUAAGCAAUCAGGUGUUCUGAAGGCCACAGAAUUCUUAUAGGCAGCAACAAAUCAGGGAACACCACCUGGAAGAGGAGAAGUAGAACCAGGCUUUAAGAGGCUGAAUUUGGAGAGGCAUAGAGGAGUCCCUCCAACAAAAAGAGGGUUGCAAGGUUUAGGAUUUGCCAUGAUAUGAAAGCCUGUCUAGUCCUCUGGCUUGGUGGACUUAUAACUCCAUCAUUUUUACAGGUAGAAGGGGCUUUAAGGUCUUCUAGUUCAACCUUCCAUUACACAUGUGGGAAGACUGAGGCCAGAGCAGGGAGGUAACUUGGCCACUGUUCCCCAGCAAGUGAGCGACAGCACAGGGAUGAGAGCCCAGGUCUGACUUACAGCCCUGUGCUCUUUUCACCACAUUUCUUGAAUAAUCCACUGUGCACCUGGCGAUGCUUUUCUUUCAGAAUCCAGCCACGACUUCGUUUUCUCUGCAUGGCAGGCAGCCAAGCGCCUUGAACUUCUCCAUGUUACCAUUUUGCCCUCUGCAGAAUGGGAUAUUAAAGUAUUCACUUGGGGGAGGGGUCAUGGGGUUUCGUCAAUAAAUGUUUGUGAAUUGCUCUGAGCUAUUUAUGCCAGAGGGAUUCCAGAAGUGAAAGACCCUGGUGGCCGUGGUGGUUGUAUCUGAGCCUUUUUUGAGGUCUUCCCUCUACUCUGCAGAAUUAAAGAGAUGGUUUAAGUGAUAAACUAUUCCUUAUGAGCUGUAUUUGUGUUGAAAGCACAGCAUGAGUUCCCAGCACGCUUCCUCUAGCACAACCACAGCUAUGCACCAAUCCUCCUGGGUUCAGAGAUGGAACUUGGGUUAAAUGCAUGGAAUUUAUUCUUAGUCCUUUUCUUAAUUACGACUUUUUAUUUCUCUGGUGUUCUCUAGGGGAGGGGUUAGAGAAGAGAGGAAAAGGAAGAAAGAAAGGGGGCAGGGAAAUAUAGAUUCAAUGCUUUUGUUUUGUUUCUGGGCUGCUUGCUAUCAGCAAAGUAGAGAGAUUUAACGGAUCUUGCCGAGAAUGCAAGCCUCAUUCCAAGGAAGCCAGAGCUCAGAAGACAUGGAACAAAUACAAUGAAAACAUAACUUGAGGUCGGAAAAUGUCCCCUGAAUAUUUAUGUCAAUGUCCUACCUUAGUGAAUAUUACUUAAUACUGUGGCUCCUUUAAAGCAUUUAGCACAUUUGUACCAUGAAGAUACUGAGGCUGCCAUCAUGCUCUGUUAUUCUAAGAGAAAGAUCAACAGCAACAACAACAAUAAUAAUUUAAAAAGCAGAGGAAGAAAGUAAUCCAAGAAGACAGACGCAGAGCCUCUAAGAUCAUGAAGGAUGAUUAAAAGAACAAGUUGGGGAUGAAAAUGGGGAAUCAGAAAGCUUAUCAUCAGGUUAGUUUUGGAAGGUCAUCUGUGGCCUGGGCGGUGCCCCAUUAAGACUAGAUCAAAAGCAGGACAGUGAUGCAAUCGGCUGUUUGUAUACAGAUGCUGGCCUCCAAAUCCCCACAUGGGAACAUCUGCUGGGGACAACCACUUAACAAAUAAGCAGGCAAUUAGGUAGCAGAUCCAUCUGUGCCAAGAGCAUGGGACCACCAGCGGCGGGGAGGCUGCAGCAGAGGGGAGAGCCAUGCUGGGAAGAAUGCUUUUGCGUUUGUGCAAGAGUCACACUAUCUAAGGCAGGAGAAAGGAGAGAGGACCAGGUGCAGAAGUCAGGAGAGAAGAUCAUUUUCUGCUUGUUCUGGGGCUAGCUCCAUGAUGCUCAGCCUUGACUAUACAUUAUAAUCACCUGGAGAUUUUAAAUAUACUGAUGCCCAGGUUGUACUUCAAAACAAUCUAAUCAGAGUUUCUAGGAAGGGG